RNAcentral lists this ribosomal RNA (466 nucleotides) under uncultured bacterium. Its description in RNAcentral is "partial 16S ribosomal RNA". It matches the Rfam family "Bacterial small subunit ribosomal RNA", at positions 28 to 507 of the family's 1533-position model. The record is from RNAcentral.
GACGAACGCUGGCGGCGCGCCUAACACAUGCAAGUCGAACGAGCGAGAGAGAGCUUGCUUUCUCGAGCGAGUGGCGAACGGGUGAGUAACGCGUGAGGAACCUGCCCCUAAGAGGGGGACAACAGUUGGAAACGACGGCUAAUACCGCAUAAGCCCUCGUGUCGCCCUCGGCGAGAGGGAAAAGGAGGGAUCUGCUCUGAGAUGGCGGCGCGUCCGAUCUGCUUGUUGGGGAGGUAACGGCCCACCACGGCAACGUACGGUAGCCGGACUGAGAGGUUGGCCGGCCACAUUGGGACUGAGACACAGCCCCGACUCCUACGGGAGGGAGGAGUGGGGAAUAUAGCAAAAUGGGGGAAAAGAUGAUGAAGCGACGCCGGGAAGAGGAAGAAGGUCGUCGGAAAGUAAACUCCUGUUGUUGGGGAAGAUAAUGACGGUACCCAACAAGGAAGUGACGGCUAACUACGUG